AUUGAAUUCUGCUACACUUUAAACAAAGGAUACAAAUUGCUAAGGAAAGGACAGUCUCAGCCAGCAAUAUCAAUUCUCAGAACCAGAAGAGAAACAAUGAGAUUCUUUCUCUUUAGCCACGGCACCAAACUCUGAACCGGCUGAGCCUGGUUAGCCCUUGAUUCAUUGUAUAAGUUGACCCCCCUAAAACAAGAAAAACGAUGAAGAUGAACAACCUGAACUGGACUCCUGCCAAGUCCACAAACCGAUUUUGCAAGACCUGACACUUUUGAAGAGUAUUGGACAGCUAUUUUGAAGAAUGUCCUGCAAUUCUGCCUAAUGUGUUUCAAUGAAUAAAUGUUACACGUGCAUUGUUGGCCAAGAGUAAAAAAA
This 372-nucleotide long non-coding RNA is filed under the name Homo sapiens (human). RNAcentral describes it as "long independently transcribed non-coding RNA 2676 (LINC02676)". Lineage: Eukaryota; Metazoa; Chordata; Mammalia; Primates; Hominidae. The record is from RNAcentral.